GGCUGGGGCGGCACAUCUGUCAAACGAUAACGCAGGUGUCCUAAGGUGAGCUCAAUGAGAAUACUAAGUGAUUAUAACGAUCCUCGCGCGCUAGAAUGAGAAAUAACAGAGGUUACUAUGG
Molecule: ribosomal RNA, 121 nt
Filed under: Clytia hemisphaerica
Lineage: Eukaryota; Metazoa; Cnidaria; Hydrozoa; Leptothecata; Clytiidae
Description: eukaryotic large subunit ribosomal RNA
Source: RNAcentral